This 253-nucleotide ribosomal RNA is filed under the name uncultured bacterium. Its description in RNAcentral is "partial 16S ribosomal RNA". It matches the Rfam family "Bacterial small subunit ribosomal RNA", at positions 524 to 776 of the family's 1533-position model. The record is from RNAcentral.
AACGUAGGAGGCAAGCGUUAUCCGGAGUUACUGGGCGUAAAGCGCGCGUAGGCGGUAAGGUAAGUGAAUGGUGAAAGACCCGUGCUUAACGCGGGGAACGCCGUUGAGACUGCCUUGCUGGAGGGAGCCAGAGGAACGUGGAAUUCGGGGUGUAGCGGUGAAAUGUGUAGAGAUCCCGAGGAACACCAGCGGUGAAGACGACGUUCUGGGGCUCAGCUGACGCUGAGGCGCGAAGGCGUGGGGAGCGAACGGG